Molecule: ribosomal RNA, 434 nt
Filed under: uncultured bacterium
Lineage: Bacteria
Description: partial 16S ribosomal RNA
Rfam family: Bacterial small subunit ribosomal RNA
Source: RNAcentral
AGAGAAAGAGGGAGGAAGGAAGAAAAAAGGAAAGGAGAAAGAAAAGGGAGGGGUUAGGGGAGGAAGGGUGAGUAAAACGUGGGAACGUGAAUUUAGGUUGGGAAUAACGCAGGGAAACUUGUGCUAAGAAAGAAUGUGAUUUGCGGGGGAAAGAUUUAUCGCCUUUAGAGCGGCCCGCGUCUGAUUAGCUAGUUGGUUGAGGUAAUGGCUCACCAAGACGACCAUCAGUAGCUGGUCUGAGAGGAUGAUCAGCCACAGGGGGACUGAGACACGGCCCAAACUCCUACGGGAGGCAGCAGUGGGGAAUCUUGCGCAAUGGGCGAAAGCCUGACGCAGCCAUGCCACAUGCCUUCUUCCUAUCUUAGUAUUGUAAAAUUCUUUCACCGGGGACGAUAAUGACUGUACCCGGAGAAGAAGCCCCAGCUCCCUUCGUG